Molecule: long non-coding RNA, 194 nt
Organism: Lemur catta (Ring-tailed lemur)
Lineage: Eukaryota; Metazoa; Chordata; Mammalia; Primates; Lemuridae
Exons: 4
Source: RefSeq, a predicted model, not a curated record
AGAGAGGUUGAGAGCCUUGCCCAGGAUCACACAGCUGCACAGGAGGCCCAAGUCACCCCGGGAGGCACCGCCUUUGGCCCAAGACCCAACCAGCACCCCAGUUCUCCAGCCUAACAGGGCUUCACCCAAUGACCACUGAGUUCCCAUGGAAGACUGCAUGGAGGAGGCAUCCUUUAAGGGUCAUUCACUGUGGG